Suricata suricatta (meerkat) is the source of this 418-nucleotide long non-coding RNA. RefSeq lists it as uncharacterized. The transcript is spliced from 3 exons. NCBI's taxonomy places the organism in Eukaryota, Metazoa, Chordata, Mammalia, Carnivora, Herpestidae. The record is from RefSeq and is a predicted model, not a curated record.
AAAGAAAAGAAAAAAGGAGAAGAGGAAUCAUCUCAAAACCAUUCCUUCAGAAUUUUCCAAACCUAUUUGAUCACAUGAGGCCUCAGCUAAGGUUUAUAUCACAGGGACUAUCCCAGCGGAACUGGUGCUCUUGAACCUCACUUGGGAAAUUCAGGUUGAGUCACCACCAUCAUAAGCAGCCUUUGCAUGCUUUCCGGAUUGCCAUUGUCUGAAGACCGACUUUCAAUAUAAGAGAUUUCUGACUUACUGAGGUGUCAAAAACAACUCCUGAGUCCUGUUCCCAUUCUUCUUGAAGAUACCUACCCAAUAACUGGGACAAUAGAUGUCCUACAGUUGAAGGAAAUCUGGAUCUUGUUACAUUUUCAUACUAAUUUCCUAUGCUUCUUUUCUUGCUUUGUAGCUUUGAAAAAAAUCAGUU